Molecule: transfer RNA, 73 nt
Organism: Camelus ferus (Wild Bactrian camel)
Lineage: Eukaryota; Metazoa; Chordata; Mammalia; Artiodactyla; Camelidae
Rfam family: tRNA
About the family: Transfer RNA (tRNA) molecules are approximately 80 nucleotides in length. Their secondary structure includes four short double-helical elements and three loops (D, anti-codon, and T loops). Further hydrogen bonds mediate the characteristic L-shaped molecular structure. tRNAs have two regions of fundamental functional importance: the anti-codon, which is responsible for specific mRNA codon recognition, and the 3' end, to which the tRNAs corresponding amino acid is attached (by aminoacyl-tRNA synthetases). tRNAs cope with the degeneracy of the genetic code in two manners: having more than one tRNA (with a specific anti-codon) for a particular amino acid; and 'wobble' base-pairing, i.e. permitting non-standard base-pairing at the 3rd anti-codon position.
Source: Rfam
GAGGGUCUAGCUCAAGUGGCAGAGCGCAUGCUUAGCAUGCAUGAGGUCCUGGGUUCGAUCCCCAGUACCUCCU